This is a long non-coding RNA of Chiloscyllium plagiosum (whitespotted bambooshark), 475 nucleotides long. RefSeq lists it as uncharacterized. Lineage: Eukaryota; Metazoa; Chordata; Chondrichthyes; Orectolobiformes; Hemiscylliidae. The record is from RefSeq and is a predicted model, not a curated record.
CCAAUGGUAUCAUGCAGUGAAUGAAGUUGGGACAGCUGGUCUUUAUUAAUUUGUAUUCAUAUUCUAGGCGUCCUUGAUGGGCCUAUAAUUUGCAAGUUUUCAGAAUAUGCUAAAUUCUGUGCAAGUGUCUGAAUUGUCAACACUGCUUGAAAACAACAGGCUAAUCAUGAUGAAUCGGAGAAUUGGGGCAACAUCUUAAAGAAAGGAGAGAGAAGAAAGGCGGGAGACAUGACAGGAAGAGAGAAAGCUAGGAUUAAUGAGAACGGGACAGAAGAAAAAGAAAUGCUGGCACAAACAGAAAGAGGAGAGGAAAGCAAAAGGAACAAAAGAGGUGAAAAGAAAAAAAAUGGACCGACUGAAAUAGCAUCUCACCAACUUUCUCAGCAAUGCACCAAAGCACUUCAUAUUAGUUUUUAUUUUGAAUUGCGAUCAUUGAUGAUUUGUGAGCAAAUGUGGUAAACAUUUUGCUCAUAAG